UACGAAGGGGGCAAGCGUUGUUCGGAAUUACUGGGCGUAAAGGGCGCGUAGGCGGUGCGCUAAGUCAGAUGUGAAAGCCCUGGGCUCAACCCGGGAAUUGCAUUUGAUACUGGCGCGCUUGAAUCCAGGAGAGGUUGGUGGAAUUCCCAGUGUAGAGGUGAAAUUCGUAGAGAUUGGGAAGAACACCGGUGGCGAAGGCGGCCAACUGGACUGGUAUUGACGCUGAGGCGCGAAAGCGUGGGGAGCAAACAGG
Molecule: ribosomal RNA, 253 nt
Filed under: uncultured bacterium
Lineage: Bacteria
Description: partial 16S ribosomal RNA
Rfam family: Bacterial small subunit ribosomal RNA
Source: RNAcentral